GUGAGACAGUUCGGUCUCUAUCCUCUGUGCGCGUAGGAAAUUUGAGAGGAUCUGACCCUAGUACGAGAGGACCGGGUUGGACGAACCUCUGGUGUGCCAGUUGUUCCGCCAGGAGCACCGCUGGUUAGCUACGUUCGGGAUGGAUAACCGCUGAAAGCAUCUAAGCGGGAAGCCGGCCUCAAGAUGAGAUUUCCAUGACUUUAUGUCGUGAGGGCCGCAGCUAGACUACUGCGUUGAUAGGCCGGAUGUGGAAGUGGUGAAAGCCAUGGAGCUGACCGGUACUAAUAGCCCGAUAACUUGAUAUA
Molecule: ribosomal RNA, 305 nt
Filed under: Microbacteriaceae bacterium
Lineage: Bacteria; Bacillati; Actinomycetota; Actinomycetes; Micrococcales; Microbacteriaceae
Description: partial 23S ribosomal RNA
Rfam family: Bacterial large subunit ribosomal RNA
Source: RNAcentral